Non-coding RNA from Aspergillus tanneri, 130 nucleotides. Lineage: Eukaryota; Fungi; Ascomycota; Eurotiomycetes; Eurotiales; Aspergillaceae. The record is from the annotation of a RefSeq genome assembly.
GGCCGGGUGGCGCAAUGGUAGCGCGUUGGUUUUCGGUGGUCAGCAACGGAGUCUAGACAACAAGUCUAGCUACGGAAUAUGUGUGGACCAGAUAUACCAAAGGUUGCGGGCUCGAGUCCCGUCUCGGUCG